This 459-nucleotide ribosomal RNA is filed under the name uncultured bacterium. RNAcentral's name for it is "partial 16S ribosomal RNA". It matches the Rfam family "Bacterial small subunit ribosomal RNA", at positions 338 to 795 of the family's 1533-position model. The record is from RNAcentral.
CCUACGGGUGGCAGCAGUGAGGAAUAUUGGUCAAUGGGCGGGAGCCUGAACCAGCCAAGCCGCGUGAGGGAAGAAGGUACAGCGUAUCGUAAACCUCUUUUGUCAGGGAACAAAGACUGGGACGCGUCCCCGGAUGAGUGUACCUGAAGAAAAAGCAUCGGCUAACUCCGUGCCAGCAGCCGCGGUAAUACGGAGGAUGCGAGCGUUAUCCGGAUUUAUUGGGUUUAAAGGGUGCGCAGGCGGUCUGUUAAGUCAGCGGUCAAAGCCCGGGGCUCAACCCCGGCCCGCCGUUGAAACUGGCAGUCUCGAGUUGGAGAGAAGUAUGCGGAAUGCGCGGUGUAGCGGUGAAAUGCAUAGAUAUCGCGCAGAACUCCGAUUGCGAAGGCAGCAUGCCGGCUCCACACUGACGCUGAGGCACGAAAGCGUGGGUAUCGAACAGGAUUAGAUACCCUAGUAGUC